GGUUAAAGUACCAAAGGGCACACAAGGGAUGCCUAGGUAGAAAGACCGAAGAAGGACGUGGUAGCUGCGAUAAGCUUGCGAAGUUGCAAACGAACGUGGAUGCCAAGAUUUCCGAAUGGAGCAAUCUGUAAAGAGUCAUGUCUUUACACGAAAGAGGGAACCGGGUGAACUGAAACAUCUAAGUAAUCCGAGGAAAAGAAAGUAACAACGAUACCCUAAGUAGCGGCGAGCGAACGGGGUAGAGCCUAAACCGUAUUCAUGUCAAGGAUGCAGCCGUUGUGGAUACGGGGUAGCGGGAAAGAGAGAGAAAGAACUGCAAGCUAUUUCGCAGACGUAAGCAAAGGAACAAGAAAGAUCUGGAAAGGUCUACCGUAGAAGGUGAAAGUCCUGUAUUGGUAGUUUUCUUGCGCUGUAUCUCUUCUCCCAAGUAAUGUGGAACACGAGGAAUUCUGCAUGAAUCUGCGAGGACCAAAUCUCGUAAGGCUAAAUACUCU
RNAcentral lists this ribosomal RNA (494 nucleotides) under Fusobacterium necrophorum subsp. necrophorum. RNAcentral describes it as "bacterial LSU rRNA". It matches the Rfam family "Bacterial large subunit ribosomal RNA", at positions 1 to 477 of the family's 2925-position model. Lineage: Bacteria; Fusobacteriati; Fusobacteriota; Fusobacteriia; Fusobacteriales; Fusobacteriaceae. The record is from RNAcentral.